RNAcentral lists this transfer RNA (65 nucleotides) under Alpheus japonicus. Its description in RNAcentral is "tRNA-Met". The record is from RNAcentral. Lineage: Eukaryota; Metazoa; Arthropoda; Malacostraca; Decapoda; Alpheidae.
AAAAGAUAAGCUAAGGCUAAGCUAACGGGCUCAUACCCCGUAUAUGAAGAACUCUUCUCUUUUUA